GUGAAUUAUUAAAGUCAUCCUUCCAUUGUUUUUUAUCUCAAAAAUUGAAAUUUUAUGGGUAUAAAAGUAUUCCAUUGAUUGCAAGAAGAAAAUGCAAGGAAAUUUAAAUCAAAUUGUCUUCUUUGUGUAAUUCAAUUUUCCUUUUUGGCGAAACUUCUUCUCUUCACGCCGACGAAGAAACCCAGCCAAAGCCAUCACUGCCACCGUAUCUCCGUCGUCCAGUGUACAUUACACUAGAUCUGGAAAGGCCGCCUUUUGCACCAGCCGCUGUGUGCGGUUACUCGGCGGAGAUCAAGUCAGCCGCUGGUGUCCAUUUUUCUUUUAGAUCCACAGCUCUCGGUUGAAAAAAAUAAACUCGGAUCUUUGAUGUCGGAUUUAAAGGGCCAUUAUAUGAAGCUUUAAUGUCGGUUUUAAUUUGACAUUAAAACAGGAUGUGAGCUAUUAACCAAUAGAGUGCGUGACAUUUUUACCGAUCCUUUGUUUUAAAACCAACAGUGGAGGUCGGGUGGCGGUCAUGGCUGUGGACGCCGUCGUGUUAGCCGCCGUGAUGAAGAGGAGAAGUGGGUUCCAGUCACCAAGCUAUUCGUGGCCGUGGAGAAGUGGCUUCCAGUCGUGCUGGUCGCCGUGACUAAGAGGAGACUAUGGACGCGGCUGCUAUUCGUGGCUUGAUUAUUUUGUCUAAGUUGUCGGUGAUCCCUGUUAGGAGGGGAUAUUGAGGUAACAAGAUUGGCAGUCGUGCGAGCCACGUAUAAUCCCUGUUAUUCCGGUGACCUCGCCGUCCGUAUGGUUCCUGCUCCUCGUGGUGCUGGUAUUGUUGCUGCUGGGGUUCCCAAGAAGGUGCUUCAAUUCGCUGGUAUUGAGAAUGUUUCCACUUCCUCAAAGGGGAUCCACUAAGGCGCUUGGAAACUUUGUGAAGGUGAUGUUCGUAAGAAGAUGCAAGUAGUGUAGUGGAGUCUACUUUCAAUAAUCUUGGUAGUCUGGACAUUCUUGUAGCAGCUUGGGAACUUUUUGGUAUCAACAGAAGAUUUGUCUACGAAAUGGAUUUCGAACAGGUUCUGUUCUAUUGCUACUUUCAAUAAUCAUGGUAGCCUUGCUUUUACUUGAUACAAGUCCAUAGUGAUCAAGCAAAAAAGUAAAAUAUAAAAAUAUACGUUGGAAGCAUUUUAUGGUUGUUGGAUGCUCCUGGCAUGUUCUUUAUCUUCAACCUUUUCUUUUUAACUUGGGAACUAUACUAAUUUAAAUGCACACUCACUCUAGAAAUUAAUGACUUAUUGAUUCCAUCUAUCAUAACUCAUCUAAUUUUUAUUGCACUAAAAGGAGAACAUAGAAAUAGAAAUAGAAAGUCUCGCAUGUUAUAAAUACGGUAUUAUUAAAGUUUAAAUCUCGGGCUUGAUGAUAUUGUUUAAGGGACUUUUACCCAUUUUGUCCAUCUUACUUCUUAUUUUCUACGAUACACAAAGUUGAAAGUGUAACAUACCUUGUGUUUGUCUUUCAAAGUAAAUCAAAUUAUCUGACUGGCAACCUUUUUCUAUUAGCUGUAAAUUCUUUUUUUUUUUUUGUUUUUGCAUUCUUGUGAGUGGUGACUGAUAAUGUUUGGACAUUACAAUGGCAUGAAAUUCUCUAGAACUCUUUUUCUUGAGAGAGAGAUGAAAAGAGAGUGAAAGAAAGGAAAAGGACCCGUGAAGUGAUUAUUAAUGGGUUGACAGAAAAGGACUUGUGAAGUGAUUAUUAAUGGGUUGACAGGGUGGUUGUUUGGAAUAAGUUGCAUUAUUGAGCUUGAUGUUAAAAUCUUUACACAAAUUAGAGAAUAAAAUGGGCCAUAACAAAAUCAAAAGAUAAUAAUGACACAUAGCUAUUAUAUGAAAAAAAAAAACAUUCUAUAUGAUCUGCCAAACUAAUACUCUCUCUAAACCCCUCAUUUAGAGUUCAUAUGUCACAAUAAAUUAAUGAUUAAUUAGUGUUUAUUGUUUAAUGAAUAAGUUUUUUUUUUCUUUUUUUCUUUUUGUGGUUUGGUAAAGGUAAAAAAUUAAGAGAAUGACAUGAAAAAAUGAAUAAGAAUAUUUUCUUGUUACCUACAGUUGGUUCGACUCCUUUUAUUUACACAUGGUAUUGUGACUUAAGAUUUGAGUUGUGAAGUUUUGAAUGUGUUAGUAUGUUGUCCAGUCAGAGUUAAGGUUCAAUUAGUAAAUUUUCGAUGAGUAUUGAGAUUUCGAUCCCUUUUGAGUUUAUUGUUGCUGUGGUUUUGGGUCUAAACUUCAAAAUUUUGUUGUGUUUAGGUUGUUUCAGACAUCCUUCUCAUGGACAAUACGUUGUCUCUUAGUUCAACACAUAACUUAUAUUUUCUAAGUAUUCCAUCAACAAACAUCCCUUUCAUGGUGUGAAAGACUGCAGUAGACAAAUAUCCAUUUUCUUUGAAAAACUCUAAAAAGUCCUUGCAUGAUUCUCAAUAUAACCUAAUACCGAGAAAGCAAAAUGGAUAGACACAGUUAUGAAUUGUGAAGUUCCUCUUAUAUCAAAGAAGAAGAAAUGUAUUGUGCAAUGUCAUUAGAGUGCAUGGUGGAUGUCGCAAUCAUGAAGAUGGGGAAGGAGGUUACUCAAUGAUCAGUUACAAGCCAAUAUAAAUUUUGGUUGGUGACCAUUGCUAGGGAGGGCUUUAUAUACCUAAAAGGACAAUUACCAAAUCAUUGAGGAAGAAAAUGACAGAUUGCAAGCUGCUCACGGUUUCACUUUGAGAUAUUUGAAAGAAAAAUGUUCAUGAUCCCAACCAGAGGUGUUGUGGUUUGGUCCUUUUCCCGAUCGUAAUGGUAAUAAACACGACGUAUGGGUAUGUUUGCUUGUGAGAAAGAAGGUUGUUUACCAUCAACUUCUCCACUAUCGUCGAAACUUGUGAAUACUCGGUUUAUUCCUAUAGUUGAUAGUGUCGUAACCUCCUUCUCCAUCUUCAUGAUUCGGACAUCCACCACGGACUCUAAUGAGGUUGCACAAUACCUUUCUUCUAUCCAUCAGUAUUGAGUUUUAUCGAGAAUCUGGCAAGGACUUUUGAGAGUUUAUCAAAUAGAAGGGAUAUUUGUCUACUGCAUUCUUUCACACCAAGAAAGGGGUGUUUGUUGAUAAAAUACUUAGAAAAUAUAGGUUAUGUGUUGAACUAAGAGACAACAAAAUUGAGAUUAUAAUAAAAUGAAGAGAAAAAGAAUUAUUUUGUAUUGUUUGGUUAGGUGUUUAAUACGAUGUGGAAAGACUAUUGGUUGAGUGAUAAUGAAAAUGAGGAUGAGGUGGUUUGAAGGUUUUUGGAAAA
Molecule: long non-coding RNA, 3295 nt
Organism: Cucumis sativus (cucumber)
Lineage: Eukaryota; Viridiplantae; Streptophyta; Magnoliopsida; Cucurbitales; Cucurbitaceae
Exons: 4
Source: RefSeq, a predicted model, not a curated record